This 334-nucleotide long non-coding RNA is filed under the name Brassica rapa (field mustard). Its description in RNAcentral is "long non-coding RNA (BRAP_LNC007118)". The record is from RNAcentral. Lineage: Eukaryota; Viridiplantae; Streptophyta; Magnoliopsida; Brassicales; Brassicaceae.
UCAUCAAGGGCCGUCCCUGCAAGGUAUAUAUAGCUCCCCCAUCUCGUUCUUUGUUUUGUGAUUAGAUGAUUUGUAUUUAGGUUGCAGUAAUUAGAUCGUGUAUUUUCUGUUAUUUUGACGGCUUUCUUAUAUUUUUGAUAGAUAUGAAUAAGACACAACAGAUCUGAGAGUACUAGUUUGUGUAAUGAAUAACAAAAGCUGACCUUUUUUUGUUUUGGUAUUUAUUAUGGGAUUGAUAAGGUUGUUGAGGUUUCGACUUCGAAGACUGGCAAGCACGGUCACGCCAAGUGUCACUUUGUUGCUAUUGAUAUCUUCACUGCUAAGAAGCUUGAGG